RNAcentral lists this ribosomal RNA (504 nucleotides) under uncultured bacterium. RNAcentral describes it as "partial 16S ribosomal RNA". It matches the Rfam family "Bacterial small subunit ribosomal RNA", at positions 29 to 523 of the family's 1533-position model. The record is from RNAcentral.
AUUGAACGCUGGCGGCAGGCCUAACACAUGCAAGUCGAACGGUAGCACAGAGAGCUUGCUCUCGGGUGACGAGUGGCGGACGGGUGAGUAAUGUCUGGGAAACUGCCCGGUGGAGGGGGAUAACUACGGGAAACGGUAGCUAGUACCGCGUAACGUCGCAAGACCAAAGGGGGGGAACUUCGGGGCUCACACCAUCGGAUGUGGCCAGAUGGGAUUAGGUAGGAGGUGGGGGAAUGGCUCACCUGGGGGGCGAUCCUUAGCUGGGCUGAGAGGAGUACCGGCCACACUGGAACUGGGAAACGCUCCAGCCUCCUACGGGAGGCAGCAUUGGGGAAUAUUGGACAAUGGGCGAAAGCCGGAUGCAUCCGUGCCGCGUGUAUGAAGAAGGCCUUCGGGUUGUAAAGUACUUUCAGCGGGGAGGAAGGCGGUGAAGUUGAUAGCUUCACCGAGUGACGUUACCCGCAGAAGAAGCACCGGCUAACUCCGUGCCAGCAGCCGCAGUAA